UGGGGAAUAUUGCACAAUGGGCGCAAGCCUGAUGCAGCCAUGCCGCGUGUGUGAAGAAGGCCUUCGGGUUGUAAAGCACUUUCAGCGAGGAGGAAGGUGGUGAACUUAAUACGUUCAUCAAUUGACGUUACUCGCAGAAGAAGCACCGGCUAACUCCGUGCCAGCAGCCGCGGUAAUACGGAGGGUGCAAGCGUUAAUCGGAAUUACUGGGCGUAAAGCGCACGCAGGCGGUUUGUUAAGUCAGAUGUGAAAUCCCCGGGCUCAACCUGGGAACUGCAUUUGAAACUGGCAAGCUAGAGUCUCGUAGAGGGGGGUAGAAUUCCAGGUGUAGCGGUGAAAUGCGUAGAGAUCUGGAGGAAUACCGGUGGCGAAGGCGGCCCCCUGGACGAAGACUGACGCUCAGGUGCGAAAAGCGUGGGGAGCAAAACAGGAUUAGAUACCCCUGGUAGUCCACGCUGUAAAACGAUGUCGAUUUUGGAGGUUGUGCCCUUGAGGCGUGGCUUCCGGAGCUAACGCGUUAAAUCGACCGCCUGGGGAGUACGGCCGCAAGGUUAAAACUC
RNAcentral lists this ribosomal RNA (560 nucleotides) under uncultured bacterium. RNAcentral describes it as "partial 16S ribosomal RNA". It matches the Rfam family "Bacterial small subunit ribosomal RNA", at positions 355 to 902 of the family's 1533-position model. The record is from RNAcentral.